GCCUGCUUUAAACACUCUAAUUUUUACAAAGUAACAGUCCUGAUUCCCCAAGACACCAAAUUAAUGACAUCAAGGUUCGUCAGAAGGGAGAAACCGAAGAUACCAGUACCUACCGAGGCACGACCGAUACAUCGGUCCCGAAAUUCAACUACGAGCUUUUUAACUGCAGCAACUUUAAUAUACGCUAUUGGAGCUGGAAUUACCGCGGCUGCUGGCACCAGACUUGCCC
RNAcentral lists this ribosomal RNA (229 nucleotides) under uncultured Glomus. RNAcentral describes it as "partial 18S ribosomal RNA". The record is from RNAcentral. Lineage: Eukaryota; Fungi; Glomeromycota; Glomeromycetes; Glomerales; Glomeraceae.